This 292-nucleotide ribosomal RNA is filed under the name uncultured bacterium. RNAcentral's name for it is "partial 16S ribosomal RNA". It matches the Rfam family "Bacterial small subunit ribosomal RNA", at positions 505 to 796 of the family's 1533-position model. The record is from RNAcentral.
GUGCCAGCAGCCGCGGUAAUACGUAGGUGGCAAGCGUUGUCCGGAUUUAUUGGGUUUAAAGGGUGCGUAGGCGGCCUAUUAAGUCAGUAGUGAAAUAUCACAGCUUAACUGUGAGGGUGCUAUUGAUACUGAUGGGCUUGAGUACAGAUGAGGUAGGCGGAAUUGACGGUGUAGCGGUGAAAUGCAUAGAUAUCGUCAAGAACACCGAUAGCGAAGGCAGCUUACUAAGUUGUAACUGACGCUGAUGCACGAAAGUGUGGGGAUCAAACAGGAUUAGAAACCCGAGUAGUCC